RNAcentral lists this small RNA (213 nucleotides) under Pan troglodytes (chimpanzee). RNAcentral's name for it is "retained intron". Lineage: Eukaryota; Metazoa; Chordata; Mammalia; Primates; Hominidae. The record is from RNAcentral.
ACCGGUUGACCAAGAUCGAGGGUCUGCAGAACCUGGUGAACCUGCGGGAGCUGUACCUUAGCCACAAUGGCAUCGAGGUCAUCGAGGGCCUGGAGAACAAUAACAAACUCACGAUGUUGGACAUUGCAUCAAAUAGAAUCAAAAAGAUUGAAAAUAUCAGCCAUCUAACAGAGCUGCAAGAGUUCUGGGUAAGUUUAAUACACGCUGGGGUUG